AGCUCCAAUAGCGUAUAUUAAAGUUGUUGCAGUUAAAAAGCUCGUAGUUGGAUUUCUGGUCUGAGCGUCCGGUCCGCCGCUGUGCGGUGUGUACUUGGUAUGACUCGGGCCUUCCUUGUAGGGAAUGUCUCUGGCAUUAAUUUGUCGGGGUCGGGAACUGCAUCGUUUACUGUGAAAAAUUAGAGUGUUUAAAGCAGGCAUUUGCUGUGAAUACAUUAGCAUGGAAUAAUAAGAUAGGACUUUGGUUCUAUUUUGUUGGUUGGAGGCCAAGGUAAUGAUUAAUAGGGAUAGUUGGGGGUAUUCAUAUUUAAUUGUCAGAGGUGAAAUUCUUGGAUUUAUGAAAGAUGAACUUAUGCGAAAGCAUUUACCAAGGAUGUUUUCA
This 382-nucleotide ribosomal RNA is filed under the name uncultured eukaryote. Its description in RNAcentral is "SSU rRNA". It matches the Rfam family "Eukaryotic small subunit ribosomal RNA", at positions 587 to 972 of the family's 1831-position model. The record is from RNAcentral.